AGCAGUAGCCGCGGUAAUACGAAGGGGGCUAGCGUUGUUCGGAAUUACUGGGCGUAAAGCGCACGUAGGCGGAUAUUUAAGUCAGGGGUGAAAUCCCGCAGCUCAACUGCGGAACUGCCUUUGAUACUGGGUAUCUUGAGUAUGGAAGAGGUAAGUGGAAUUGCGAGUGUAGAGGUGAAAUUCGUAGAUAUUCGCAGGAACACCAGUGGCGAAGGCGGCUUACUGGUCCAUUACUGACGCUGAGGUGCGAAAGCGUGGGGAGCAAACAGGAUUAGAUACCCGCGUAGUCCCUGUCUCUUAUAC
RNAcentral lists this ribosomal RNA (303 nucleotides) under uncultured bacterium. RNAcentral's name for it is "partial 16S ribosomal RNA". It matches the Rfam family "Bacterial small subunit ribosomal RNA", at positions 507 to 807 of the family's 1533-position model. The record is from RNAcentral.